AGUGAAGAUAGAGAGCGCUUUUUAAAACUCGGAGACUCAACGUGACUCCGCCUCUAAAGCACAGAUUUGGAGAAGAAAAAUGGAGAUGGCUAAAUGUGUUACUUGUAGAUAAGAUGAUCCAAGGUUUAUACGUAUUUGAGAACCUGUUGUCCGAAACAUAAAAAGGGGACAUUUGUGAUAGCGGGACAAGGGCCACGAUUAUGGCUUGCCAAAGAGGAGAGGGAGUCGAGAUAUUUGUUGC
RNAcentral lists this long non-coding RNA (241 nucleotides) under Helianthus annuus (common sunflower). RNAcentral's name for it is "sRNA HanXRQr2_Chr03g0094921". Lineage: Eukaryota; Viridiplantae; Streptophyta; Magnoliopsida; Asterales; Asteraceae. The record is from RNAcentral.